This 768-nucleotide ribosomal RNA is filed under the name Triticum aestivum (bread wheat). RNAcentral's name for it is "partial small subunit ribosomal RNA". Lineage: Eukaryota; Viridiplantae; Streptophyta; Magnoliopsida; Poales; Poaceae. The record is from RNAcentral.
AUGGAUCAGAAGAUUCCACUUAUGUUGUGUCCAAGCAGGAAAGAAUGGAUAAAAAGUUUGGAGUGCGCAUUGAAGAGCCAGGAGGUCUUUUGCACAGGGUGGACUAUGAAUGCAAAAUGUGCAUACGCACCUACCAGAAAAAACCAGAUGUAUGACUAUUCGGUAAGCCUGCAGAGGUACCGCGAGUUGCGGAAUUGUAGUCACGCCGCAAGUUUCAAGGCAUGCCACUCUGAUGAGGACUAUCACCGUCUAAUUAUGCUUUUGCAAGCACAACAUCAUGGCAAGCAAUCAAGUUUUGAACAAGCUGACAGCAAGGAGUCAACUAAUGCUCAGCAUAACAACAUUAGGUUUGGCCCGUUGAUGCCGCACUCGGAGAAAGUUGAUAAGGUUCUGGAUCCCGUGGAUGUGCCAGGCCGAGGUGCACCGAAGAAAAGGCUGCAGGCAAAGACAAAGAAGUCAAGAUCACAGAAUAUCUGUGGCUAUUGUAAGAAUCCUGGUCACAAUCGACGUAAAUGCGCUAAAUUGCUAGAGAAUAAUUUUUGUGAUGUAUUUCUGCACGCACGCACGGCCGCCAGACGGAUCUCCCGCGCGAUCCCACGGUCUGCAUGGCUCAUGCAUGGCAGGCCGUCCUACGUCGACCCAAACACCGGCCCAUCCGAGGUUGCAGCUCCGGACGGCCCACGUCACGUCCCCGACUCUUGCAUGCAGGUGCCUGGUUUUUGCAUGAAGGUCCUUGGGUCGCAUCAUUGGUUGAGGAAGUAUCUCUAG